Molecule: unclassified non-coding RNA, 274 nt
Filed under: uncultured Basidiobolales
Lineage: Eukaryota; Fungi; Basidiobolomycota; Basidiobolomycetes
Description: sequence contains ITS2
Source: RNAcentral
UAAACCUCUCACCCUCAAUUGGGGAUGAGGAGUUGAGCAAUCCGCUGGCGCUGAAUUGUUUCGGCGAUUUAACGCGGUUGCUUGAAAUGUAUAGCUGAGCGGUAUUGACCACUGCUUAAGAUGACUAGGCGUAUUAGUUUCCCAUUUGGGAAUCCACUCGUGCGCCGGUGUAUUGGUCUCUAAAGCCUUUGUGUUGGUUGAUCGCUAUGCUUUUCUAAGUGUUCUUCUGAUCAUUUACUUAGUUUGGCUUGCGGUUAGCAUACUGAACUUGAUC